GACGAACGCUGGCGGCGUGCUUAACACAUGCAAGUCGAACGGAAAGGCUCCAGCUUGCUGGAGUACUCGAGUGGCGAACGGGUGAGUAACACGUGGGUAAUCUGCCCUGCACUCUGGGAUAAGCCUGGGAAACUGGGUCUAAUACUGGAUAUGACCUUUCUCCUUAUGGGGUUUGGUGGAAAGUUUUUCGGUGUAGGAUGAGCCCGCGGCCUAUCAGCUUGUUGGUGGGGUGAUGGCCUACCAAGGCGACGACGGGUAGCCGGCCUGAGAGGGUGAUCGGCCACAUUGGGACUGAGAUACGGCCCAGACUCCUACGGGAGGCAGCAGUGGGGAAUAUUGCACAAUGGACGGAAGCCUGAUGCAGCGACGCCGCGUGAGGGAUGACGGCCUUCGGGUUGUAAACCUCUUUCAGCAGGGACGAAGCGUAAGUGACGGUACCUGCAGAAGAAGCACCGGCUAACUAUGUG
RNAcentral lists this ribosomal RNA (467 nucleotides) under uncultured bacterium. RNAcentral describes it as "partial 16S ribosomal RNA". It matches the Rfam family "Bacterial small subunit ribosomal RNA", at positions 28 to 507 of the family's 1533-position model. The record is from RNAcentral.